AGAGUUUGAUCCUGGCUUAGGAUGAACGCUAGCUACAGGCUUAACACAUGCAAGUCGAGGGGCAGCAUGAACUUAGCUUGCUAAGUUGAUGGCGACCGGCGCACGGGUGAGUAACGCGUAUCCAACCUUCCCCUUAGUAGGGCAUAGCCCGAUGAAAAUCGGAUUAAUACCCUAUGUUCUUCAUAGAUGACAUCUGACAUGAAGCAAAGAUUUAUCGCUAAGGGAUGGGGAUGCGUCCGAUUAGGUAGUCGGCGGGGUAACGGCCCACCGAGCCAUCGAUCGGUAGGGGUUCUGAGAGGAAGGUCCCCCACAUUGGAACUGAGACACGGUCCAAACUCCUACGGGAGGCAGCAGUGAGGAAUAUUGGUCAAUGGGCGAGAGCCUGAACCAGCCAAGUAGCGUGCAGGAUGACGGCCCUAUGGGUUGUAAACUGCUUUUAUGCGGGGAUAAAGUGAGGGACGUGUCCCUUUUUGUAGGUACCGCAUGAAUAAGGACCGGCUAAUUCCGUGCCAGCCGCCGC
This 520-nucleotide ribosomal RNA is filed under the name uncultured bacterium. Its description in RNAcentral is "bacterial SSU rRNA". It matches the Rfam family "Bacterial small subunit ribosomal RNA", at positions 8 to 518 of the family's 1533-position model. The record is from RNAcentral.